GCAGAUUUUAUUUACAAAAUUCCACAACACCCCCCCACCCUCACACUGUGAACCUGAAUUGAAUAUUCAGAAGAAAAUGAAUGGAUAGACUGACAUUUGUUUAAAUACUUCUAGAAAUCUGAGCUGUUGGUGUGGUAAUAAUAUUAGAGCUGGCAAUCUUUCUUACUGAAUCUCUACUCUGAGUCAUGCUACCUGAGAUUAAUUCUAUGUUUACCUGACAGCCUGGACAAAUGUGCUGUGUGAAGGAUGUAAAUCAAAUCAGAUCUUAACUGCUUACAUUUAAGGAUCCUGGUCAUAUUUAAUUGUAAUAUGAACCAAUGAUUUUCUGAUUGCUGAUUCUAAGAGAGUCUUUGUGGAAAUCCUGUUUGGCUUUUUGUCAUUUUAAUUCUCUUUUCCGUUUUCCAGAACAGUUCUCCACAGUCGCUGUCCACAUGGGUCAGUGGGACCAAGAAGCACUCUGCUAAUGUGAGACUCUGACCAGCAACAUCCAGCAAGACCCAGACAGCGUUUUCUAUCUCCCAGCUGGAGUUUUUUGUUUGUCUGUGACUGGAGAGUCAGAUUUUUGUUGAAGCUGGAGAAACAGAGAGGUUAAUACACGCUACUGAUCCCUGAUGGGAGAAUCAUCACCUCUGCCAACAAAGAAGCCUGGUGGAUGUUUGUUUGCAGUCUGAUGAUGGGACACCAUGCUCUGCAUCUUCAAAGUUUGUCUCUUGAUUAUUAUUCAUACACAGUAAUGUGAAGUAUGCUUAUAUCUAGUAUAACUGGACCAACCUGGUGCUCUUCAUUUAUGGAGGCUGUUGAGUCUGAAUGUUGGGUGUUGUGUAUCUCGUGUUCUCUGGGCUUUGUUGUCCUCAGUCUUUUUGCAGGAUCAGAAAACAAAACCAGGAGGCGCGCAAAUGUUUCUUCUCCAAUUGGAUGAUGAUAAGACUGUGACACGGGAUGCCACCUUUAGUCUUGUGAUGAAGCAAAGCUCAGGAAGAAGUGUGAUUAAAUGGUACCCACAUGUGUGCUGCUGAGAAGGAUGUACAGGGGCACCUGCAGCCAAAUCCAAGCCUCCUCAGAGCAGAGCGGCAGUUUGUGCUCACAGAUGGUGACGGUGUGGAGAGACGGUGGUGUUUCCUCAGAAGAACUAGCAGAGUCACAAAGGGCACGAGUCCAUCUCACCACCUUGACUUGUUGAUCAGUGGAUACACUUGUCUCCCCUUUAAAGGAGACACUCUUAGAGAGAGAUGAUCCGAGUCAUCACUAAAUAUGGACAGGAUAUCACUAUUAGACUGUCUAACCUGCCGGAGCAGCACUGAAUGACCACCACACAUGAUCAGUUCCUGCAACAUUCAGCAGCUCUGCUUUUGUGUCAAAUGUCCAACAGCUGGAGAGGAGACUAAACCAGUGUACUGGGAUGUUUCACCAACACGUGCCAGACGCUGUUCCUUCAUGGUGACAUCACCAGAGACGGCCCCGCCCACCUCAGGACCUCGUCAUUGAUCAUGAUGAUUUUAAUGAUGACAGCGAGUGGAACUAAGACUGUAAAAAUCAGAAUGUUUAGAUGCUUUCUAAUUAUUAAUGAAUACUGAGAGCCUCUUUCUGUGUUUUGUCUGUUUUGUUUGUUUUUUUACCUCAUUUGUUACUAACAAAGUUCACCAAACUCACACAGUUUACAUCCUGUAUGUUUCCAUCUUUACCAGCCACACUCUUAACUGCAUUUAAGAAAACAAACCGUAGAAAUUGUCGUUUUUCUCUUUUGUAAUUUUGUAAUUCAGUGAAUAUACUGCACUGCUUCCUUUAAUUGCGUCUCACAUUGCUUUAAGUUUUUCCAGUGUCCAGUUAUUUUUUACUGUUGUUUGAAUUCUCUGUAUGUUUGACCCUGUAGACUGUUUAAUGGACUGCUUGUCUUCCUGUUUGUAACCGACGCCUGUUUUUGACUAAAGAUUUGGAUUUCUGACUUUAACACAGCCUCUGCGUGUCCUCCCUUUGUGUCCUCUUCCUCUAUGAAUGUGUUGCAUGUGUCACAGAUUCAUUUUAUUAACAGCUUUCCC
Molecule: long non-coding RNA, 2036 nt
Organism: Oreochromis aureus
Lineage: Eukaryota; Metazoa; Chordata; Actinopteri; Cichliformes; Cichlidae
Source: Ensembl